UCUUGGGCUGAAAUCAAAGACUAAGUCGUAAUUAACUUGCAUAAUGGAAAAUCCUAAUUAAAACUUAGGCUAAAAUAAAUAUGAAAUAACAAUGUAGCUCCUAAUUUAAAUCAUUUAAAUGGUGCAACCAGCUUGGUCUUGAGUUAGCUUGGUUUCCAAAUGGCUGUGUGAUCCUUGAUUGAUCAAUGGUUGAUCUCUAACUUCCUUGCUUGGCCGAAUUUCUAUGAUAGGAUUUGACUAAGUCACUUGCCAAAUUUGAAUUCUCAAAUCUAUCUUUGUUGAUGCUCAUUUGUUUGGAAAGAUUAUGUUUGUUGUGGCUGAUUGGUUUAUAAGAUUAUGUUUGUUGGCAAAAACAAAUCUUAUCUUUACUUCAUUCCUUGAUUGUAGCCGUCCACAACAUAAUUCUAUCUUCACUUGAUCCCUUGCUUGUAGCCUUGAAUUGGAUCAGAUUUGAAAGAUCUAAUCUUUAUAAUUAUCUUCAAAUAACUUGUUUUCUCCAUGCCUUAUCUCCUUGUUGCCUUAGAGAUAGAGUUCCUUCACGCCCUCUACCAUGUAAGAAAAUGAUCAUGCCUUAAUUUCAUUGCUCUAGCCACGUGAAAACAAAGGUCUAGCCAUGUUGCCUUGUCCUAGCUUACCCUUGAGCCUAAGUGAACUACUUGGUCCGAAUAUGGACCAUGUUAUAAAUAAAUUCCCAACCCAAAUUACAUGAAUUAAAUACUAACAUUUUUGACAUCAAAUAAACUAAACUCCUAAGACUAUAUGAGAAUGCAAUCUCAUUUAUUUGAUUCAAUGGAAAUAAAAUAAACCUAAGUAGAAAGUAACCUAAGGACAUAAAUGUCCUUCCUUCAUGUAAUCUUCAGAGUCAAUUGAAUCUUUU
This 877-nucleotide long non-coding RNA is filed under the name Lupinus angustifolius (narrow-leaved blue lupine). RNAcentral describes it as "long non-coding RNA (LANG_LNC003567)". The record is from RNAcentral. Lineage: Eukaryota; Viridiplantae; Streptophyta; Magnoliopsida; Fabales; Fabaceae.